This 377-nucleotide ribosomal RNA is filed under the name uncultured bacterium. RNAcentral's name for it is "bacterial SSU rRNA". It matches the Rfam family "Bacterial small subunit ribosomal RNA", at positions 521 to 896 of the family's 1533-position model. The record is from RNAcentral.
UAAUACGGAGGGGGCGAGCGUUGUCCGAAUUUACUGGGCGUAAAGCGCGCGUAGGCGGGGAGAUCAGUCGGUUGUGAAAGGCGGAGGCUUAACCUCCGGACUGCGACCGAUACUUUCUCUCUUGAGUGCGGGAGGGGGAAGCGGAAUUGCUGGUGUAGCGGUGAAAUGCGUAGAUAUCAGCAGGAACGCCGGUGGCGAAGGCGGCUUCCUGGACCGUAACUGACGCUGAGGCGCGAAAGCCAGGGGAGCGAACGGGAUUAGAUACCCCGGUAGUCCUGGCCGUAAACGAUGGAUACUAGGUGUUGGGGGUAUCGACCCCUCCAGCGCCGCAGCUAACGCACUAAGUAUCCCGCCUGGGGAGUACGGCCGCAAGGUUG